This 1464-nucleotide long non-coding RNA is filed under the name Homo sapiens (human). RNAcentral's name for it is "non-protein coding lnc-COL4A1-2:6". The record is from RNAcentral. Lineage: Eukaryota; Metazoa; Chordata; Mammalia; Primates; Hominidae.
GUGGAACUCUCAGGUCACAGAGAUUCAGGGUGGUCAGAGGCGGUUUGAUGUUUUGGGGAGAAAGAACAGCCGUGAAGGAUUCUGUGAUGCAGGAGAAGGUGGGAGGCCUCAGGACAGAAUCAGCAGGUCACCAUGCUUUCCUGCGUCAUCCACCUGUGGGCCUCUAAUGUGUUUCUAUGAAGUUUGCAUUAAAGUUUCAGCCACUAUUUUUCAGAAACAUGGUCAACCUCUCCUUCCCUCCUCUAUCUGCUGAUAGAGUUCUACAGAAAACAAGGGAAUGACUUGAGGAGGUGAGGGGGAUUCUGAAGGUUGUUGGUGGAUUCCUAGAAUGUAGCCCGCAGAACUGUGCCUGGAACGAUACCGGAUCACUGCAAAAGUACAGCGAACAGGGUCGCUUUGAAUAUUAAAGGAGGACUUUUUCAAAGUGUAUAGAGAGCAGUCAAAAGAUCGCCACAGUUGCUCUGUGUUUUCGUGAGCCAGCUUUCUCGGAAGGACUAAGCCAGUGGAUCACAAACAUCCUGGAGAGCAGUGACUCUGUGAUUCCAUCACAAGAAUAUGAAGGACUGAGAAGAUCUCCAGCUCUGCCCAUUGCACCUUCCCAUUGAGAAGCAGCAUGGCACCCUGGUGGCAGGGGCUGAUACUCAGCCGGGCCAGGGUGCUCUCCUGUUAACCAUAACCAAGCUCACAGGACAUGGGAUGAGCCCACUGUGUGACACAGGGAGCGGGACACAGUCUGUUAAGUCUUGCACAGCCAUGCUCUGCCACGCAGGCAGGCCUUUCCUUGGCCUCCCUCUCCCUGUUCGUGCUCAUGUGAACAUCCACCUACGUGGAUAGACUGGGCUUUGGUUCAUUAUUGCUCUGUGAAUUCCUCGAACUUCCGCAUCUGCCCAACCUCCCCCACCCCAUUGUUUUCAUUGUGUUUCACCAAAUGGAAAUUCUAGAGUAAGCAUGUGAGUCCUCUCCCAAACUUGUUCACUGUUGAGAGUGCUAAAAUGCUAACCCCAGAUGCUAACUGAGGGGUAGGGUUACCUUAUCUUUAGAGCACUGCGAAUUGUAUGUUAAGUGGAACUUAAUGAAAAAAUAGUUAAUUGACCAACAUGAAUAUCCCCUGAACAGAAUCUCCCCUGAACAGAAUCCUACAAUGAAACUAAGGGAGAUAAAUAAAGCUGUUUACCUGAAAGCUCUCUCUAAUCAAGAUCCUUUGAAAUUUAUAAAACAUGGUCAAUAUUUGCACUGGACUUUGUAAAAAUAAAGCUUGAUAAGAGAAGAGUUUGAAGUGAAAUGCUGCCACUUUCUAUGCAAUAUUUGAUUUAAAUUUAAUUCCUAGAAACCUCAGAUGAAUGUGGUUCAUGUAUCAAAGCACUCAGCAUUAUUUAUCGCGGCCUUAAAUACACAGUGAGCUUACAUGUGAAUGAAUACAUAUAUUAUGUAUCUCUCUCUAUAUAUAUACUAUAUAGAUAAUAU